Molecule: small nuclear RNA, 129 nt
Organism: Suncus etruscus (white-toothed pygmy shrew)
Lineage: Eukaryota; Metazoa; Chordata; Mammalia; Eulipotyphla; Soricidae
Product: U11 spliceosomal RNA
Exons: 1
Source: RefSeq, a predicted model, not a curated record
CCAAAGGGUUUCUUCUGUGAGUGGCACACAGUGCUGCUCGCUUGUUUAUGUGUAGAAUCAACAUCAAAAGAUUUUGGAAGCAUACUUUAGUGGCAGUUGGGCAGCUGGUGAUUGUUGAUUCCCCCUCAA